GUUAUUGUUGCAGAAUAUGCCUUUAUAAUGUUGAGCAUAGCAGCAUUUCUUAACUUUUGAAUACUUAUAAGUAUAGGAAUUGGUGCUGAUCAAAAUCUCUGUAGUGACCAUUAAUUGAUUAAAACCUUUACGAAUUGCCCACCAUUCCCCCAUGCUCAGAAAACAAAACAAUCUUAACAGAACAAACACUGCUGAGCAGAAUUUUAAACUGUUUAUUUUACCCAAAGUAAAUCUUCACUCUCCUUGGACUCCUAAUUGAAUAAGGGGUCUUUUUAAUGUUCUCAUUUUGUUAUUUUGUCCAUCAGAUGUAUAUUUUCCUACUUCAUUACCCAAGGUAUCUCACUGAGAAUGUUUGAGAAAGAAAAGUAUCUCCUAGUACAAUACCUAACAUAAAGGUGGUAUAACAAGCACUAAUUCAGAAGUUACUUUUUAAGACUAUAAUUCCAAAAGUAUCAGGCAAAUGAGAUGGAAGGCUGGGUUACAAAAUCUUGUUUCCAUCAUUUUAUCUAUAAUUAGCUCUUGUGAUCUAUAUAAGGAGCAAAAUAUAUUUACAAAUUUCACUGAAACACACUUGAAAUCCAAAUAAAAAGAAGUAAUUCAUACACAAACACAGUACUAAGAUUGAAAACAAGUUGUCACAUUAACACUGGAAGCCAUCUUUGAAUGACUGCUGCCAUAUUUUAUCACAGUAAUUUUUAGCUAACGACAGCAUUUGUAAACUUAAACUUUCUCUCAUAGAAAGGGGGCUGGUACCUAUUAAAGUUUUGUUUUAUGCAAUACUAUAGUGGCUUGUUAUUUUGGCAAUUAGAAGUAGACUCAAUGGAGCUUCCAGUUUGGUUGCUGGCAGCCAUACUGGCUUUCUUGAUUUCAGUACUCCAAAGAAUAUGGUGGUCUUAUGUAGUAGCUGACCACUAAAGAGGGGAGGAUUAAAAGGGAAUCAGUUAUCAGUUUGUAGUAUAGAAUGCACCAAGAAAGAUCAAUGGACAACUGACAUAGUUGUGUUGAAAAAUUAACUGUAUCAUAGCUCUCUACUGCCAGAACAGCAAUGGUGUACAACAAAAGAAAUGAAUAAUACAAAAGUCAUCAAGCCACAAAGAAAACCAGUAUUUAAAGGCAUUUAAUACCUACUAGUGCAAAUUCGAAGAGAAGAAACAAUCUGUAUUUAAAAAAUGUUUUCAUUUUCUGUAAGAUAAAAUGAACUGGCAAACAAAC
This 1212-nucleotide long non-coding RNA is filed under the name Marmota monax (woodchuck). The record is from RNAcentral. Lineage: Eukaryota; Metazoa; Chordata; Mammalia; Rodentia; Sciuridae.